Molecule: long non-coding RNA, 1223 nt
Filed under: Homo sapiens (human)
Lineage: Eukaryota; Metazoa; Chordata; Mammalia; Primates; Hominidae
Description: non-protein coding lnc-HAND2-4:1
Source: RNAcentral
AAUGCUGAGAGAUUUUGUCACUACCAGGCCUGCCCUAAAAGAGCUCCUGAAGGAAGCACUAAACAUGGAAAGGCACAACCGGUACCAGCUGCUGCAAAAUCAUGCCAAAAUGUAAAGACCAUCGAGGCUAGGAAGAAACUGCAUCAACUAACAAGCAAAAUAACCAGCUAACAUCAUAAUGACAGGAUCAAAUUCACACAUAACAAUAUUAACUCCAAAUGUAAAUGGACUAAAUGCUCCAAUUAGAAGACACAGACUGGCAAAUUGGAUGAAGAGUCAAGACCCAUCAGUGUGCUGGAUUCAGGAAACCCAUCUCACGUGCAGAGACACACAUAAGCUCAAAAUAAACAGAUGGAGGAAGAUCUACCAAGCAAAUGGAAAACAAAAAAAGGCAGGGGUUGUAAUCCUAGUCUCUGCUCACUCAAAACUGCUCAACUACAUGGAAACUGAACAACGUGCUCCUGAGUGACUACUGGGUACAUAACGAAAUGAAGGCAGAAAUAAAGAUAUUCUUUGAAACCAAUGAGAACAGAGACACAACAUACCAGAAUCUCUGGGACGCAUUCAAAGCAGUGUGUAGAGGGAAAUUUAUAGCACUAAAUGCCCACAAGAGAAAGCAGGAAAGAUCCAAAAUUGACACCCUAACAUCACAAUUAAAAGAACUAGAAAAGCAAGAGCAAACACAUUCAAAAGCUAGCAGAAGGCAAGAAAUAACUAAAAUCAGAGCAGAACUGAAGGAAAUAGAGACACAAAAAACCCUUCAAAAAAUUAAUGAAUCCAGGAGCUAUAAAUUAAUGUUUUAUAGAGGAGCCUUCCAUUUCCAUUUUUAAACAUAUUUUAUUCUUUUUUUUUUUUUUUUUUUUUUUUUUUUGAGCCGGAGUCUCGCUCUGUCGCCCAGGCUGGAGUGCAGUGGCGCGAUCUCGGCUCACUGCAAGCUCCGCCUCCUGGGUUCACGCCAUUCUCCUGCCUCAGCCUCCCGAGUAGCUGGGACUACAGGCGCCCGCCACUGCGCCCGGCUAAUUUUUUGUAUUUUUAGUACAGACGGGGUUUCACCGUGUUAGCCAGGAUGGUCUCGAUCUCCUGACCUCGUGAUCCGCCCGCCUCGGCCUCCCAACGUGCUGGGAUUACAGGCGUGAGCCACCGCGCCCGGCCUCUUUCUUUUUUAAGAAAAAUGGAAGGAAAAAAAUAUUUGUGAGGAUUGUUGUCAUCGGGCACAAAAUAUA